UACGUAGGUCCCGAGCGUUGUCCGGAUUUAUUGGGCGUAAAGCGAGCGCAGGUGGUUUAUUAAGUCUGGUGUAAAAGGCAGUGGCUCAACCAUUGUAUGCAUUGGAAACUGGUAGACUUGAGUGCAGGAGAGGGGAGUGGAAUUCCAUGUGUAGCGGUGAAAUGCGUAGAUAUAUGGAGGAACACCGGUGGCGAAAGCGGCUCUCUGGCCUGUAACUGACACUGAGGCUCGAAAGCGUGGGGAGCGAACAGG
RNAcentral lists this ribosomal RNA (252 nucleotides) under uncultured bacterium. Its description in RNAcentral is "partial 16S ribosomal RNA". It matches the Rfam family "Bacterial small subunit ribosomal RNA", at positions 524 to 776 of the family's 1533-position model. The record is from RNAcentral.